Long non-coding RNA from Balaenoptera musculus (blue whale), 422 nucleotides. RefSeq lists it as uncharacterized. The record is from RefSeq and is a predicted model, not a curated record. The transcript is spliced from 3 exons. NCBI's taxonomy places the organism in Eukaryota, Metazoa, Chordata, Mammalia, Artiodactyla, Balaenopteridae.
AGCAAGAAAAAACAUGUCCCGAAGCAGUGCGUGGCGCCCCCUUUAGCCCCGGCCACACCCCCAAACAGUAUUCCUGUGCUGCGCGGAAAAGAGAUUUCCUCCUCCUCCCUCCCCGGCUCCCACCUGAUUUCUCCACAUCUGGAAUCCUAAACCAGCCAAGGAAGUAUGGAAACAAAAUUUAAGAUGUGCUGAGUUGCUUAGAAGCUGUAGCUCAAAACUAGAGGAAACGAGGCUUUUCCAAGCGGGGGUGGGGAACUGCGAUGAGAUUCAGUGGAAGCCUACAGUAAAGAAACCUGUUUACCUUGGAGUUUCUCACACUUGGAAACCUUUUUGAACAUAUGUCUAUAAGCGUCUUGUGCAGGUGGAAGAAGUGAACUACAUGAUGACCAGGCUGUAGCCAUGACCUAAGCUGCCACAAUUCC